AGGGAUCAUUACACAAAUAUGAAGGCGGGCUGGAACCUCUCGGGGUUACAGCCUUGCUGAAUUAUUCACCCUUGUCUUUUGCGUACUUCUUGUUUCCUUGGUGGGUUCGCCCACCACUAGGACAAACAUAAACCUUUUGUAAUUGCAAUCAGCGUCAGUAACAAAUUAAUAAUUACAACUUUCAACAACGGAUCUCUUGGUUCUGGCAUCGAUGAAGAACGCAGCGAAAUGCGAUAAGUAGUGUGAAUUGCAGAAUUCAGUGAAUCAUCGAAUCUUUGAACGCACAUUGCGCCCUUUGGUAUUCCAAAGGGCAUGCCUGUUCGAGCGUCAUUUGUACCCUCAAGCUUUGCUUGGUGUUGGGCGUCUUGUCUCUAGCUUUGCUGGAGACUCGCCUUAAAGUAAUUGGCAGCCGGCCUACUGGUUUCGGAGCGCAGCACAAGUCGCACUCUCUAUCAGCAAAGGUCUAGCAUCCAUUAAGCCUUUUUUCAACUUUUGACCUCGGAUCAGGUAGGG
This 513-nucleotide ribosomal RNA is filed under the name uncultured Alternaria. RNAcentral describes it as "eukaryotic LSU rRNA". The stretch from base 177 to 330 matches the Rfam family "5.8S ribosomal RNA". The record is from RNAcentral. Lineage: Eukaryota; Fungi; Ascomycota; Dothideomycetes; Pleosporales; Pleosporaceae.